ACAUACUUCAGAGCCUGAUUCAUAAAAUUUUAAUAAAUAAUAUUACUACCAAAUCCUAACAAAAUAAAAUUUUCAACUAUAAAAUUAUUAAUGUAACCCACCUCUUCUUUAAAAAGCUGCACCUUGAUUUGAGAUAAAAUAAAAUUUUAUUUAAAGAAAAUUAAUUUUUUUAAAAAUAUUCAUUACAACAACGAUAUACAAGCAAUUAUUAAAGUAUAAUAAAUUGUGAACUAUCAAUUACAGGGCAGGUUCCUCUGAUAGGUUAAAGUACCGCCAAGAUAUUUAAUUUUCAAGCACUUAACUAAUACUAAUCCAGUUAUUUUAAUUACAAUUUUUAUAGCAGGGUAUCUAAUCCUGGUUUAUAAAUAAAAUUUUCCUAGAUCACUUAAUCAAAAAACAUAAACCCUAUAUUGAAAUUUCACCUUUAAAUAUAAUAUUAAAAAUUUAUUUAAUUAGUUAACUAAUUAACUAUAAAAAUUAAGUAAAUCCUCUUGUAUAACCGCA
RNAcentral lists this ribosomal RNA (504 nucleotides) under Cryptocephalus cynarae. RNAcentral's name for it is "partial 12S ribosomal RNA". The record is from RNAcentral. Lineage: Eukaryota; Metazoa; Arthropoda; Insecta; Coleoptera; Chrysomelidae.